RNAcentral lists this ribosomal RNA (301 nucleotides) under uncultured bacterium. Its description in RNAcentral is "partial 16S ribosomal RNA". It matches the Rfam family "Bacterial small subunit ribosomal RNA", at positions 509 to 807 of the family's 1533-position model. The record is from RNAcentral.
CAGCAGCCGCGGGAAUACGGAGGAUGCAAGCGUUAAUCGGAAUUACUGGGCGUAAAGCGCACGCAGGCGGUUUGUUAAGUCUGCUGUGAAAUCCCCGGGCUCAACCUGGGAAUGGCAGUGGAUACUGGCAAGCUAGAGUGUGUCAGAGGAUGGUGGAAUUCCCGGUGUAGCGGUGAAAUGCGUAGAGAUCGGGAGGAACAUCAGUGGCGAAGGCGGCCAUCUGGGACAACACUGACGCUGAGGCACGAAAGCGUGGGGAGCAAACAGGAUUAGAUACCCGCGUAGUCCCUGUCUCUUAUAC